CCCUGGUUAGCUCAGUUGCUAGAGCGCUCAGCCUGUAAUGGAGAGGUGCCGGGUUCGAUACGCGGACCAGGCG
Non-coding RNA from Ixodes scapularis (black-legged tick), 73 nucleotides. Lineage: Eukaryota; Metazoa; Arthropoda; Arachnida; Ixodida; Ixodidae. The record is from Rfam.